AGGGCGGAAGCUGAAAAGCCCGGAGAGAGAGUAGGCA
Molecule: non-coding RNA, 37 nt
Organism: Bacteroidetes bacterium 46-16
Lineage: Bacteria; Pseudomonadati; Bacteroidota
Source: Rfam